ACUCAAAUGAAUUGACGGGGGCCCGCACAAGCAGCGGAGCGUGUGGUUUAAUUCGAUGCAACGCGCAGAACCUUACCUCGGCUUGACAUGCACGUGGUACCAACCUGUAAGGGGAGGGACCCGCGAGGGAGCGUGCACAGAUGCUGCAUGGCUGUCGUCAGCUCGUGCCGUGAGGUGUUGGGUUAAGUCCCGCAACGAGCGCAACCCUUGUCCUUAGUUGAAUUCUCUAGGGAGACCGCCGGUCUAAACCGGAGGAAGGUGGGGAUGACGUCAAGUCAGCACGGCUCUUACGUCGAGGGCUACACACACGCUACAAUGGCCGGUACAACGGGUUGCCAAGGGGUGACCUGGAGCUAAUCCCACCAAAGCCGGUCUCAGUUCGGAUCGCAGGCUGCAACUCGCCUGCGUGAAGUCGGAGUUGCUAGUAACUGCCGGUCAGCACACGGCGGUGAAUACGUUCCCGGGCCUUGUACACACCGCCCGU
RNAcentral lists this ribosomal RNA (484 nucleotides) under uncultured bacterium. Its description in RNAcentral is "partial 16S ribosomal RNA". It matches the Rfam family "Bacterial small subunit ribosomal RNA", at positions 899 to 1397 of the family's 1533-position model. The record is from RNAcentral.